GGAAAAGAAACUAACAAGGAUUCCCCUAGUAACGGCGAGUGAAGCGGGAAGAGCUCAAAUUUGAAAUCUGGCACUUUCAGUGUCCGAGUUGUAAUCUCGAGAAGUGUUUUCCGCGCUGGACCGCAUAUAAGUCUGUUGGAAUACAGCGUCAUAGUGGUGAGAACCCCGUAAUUGAUGCGGACGCCCAGUGCUUUGUGAUACACUUUCGAAGAGUCGAGUUGUUUGGGAAUGCAGCUCAAAUUGGGUGGUAAAUUCCAUCUAAAGCUAAAUAUUGGCGAGAGACCGAUAGCGAACAAGUACCGUGAGGGAAAGAUGAAAAGCACUUUGGAAAGAGAGUUAACAGUACGUGAAAUUGUUGGAAGGGAAACGCUUGAAGUCAGACUUGCUGUUUGGAAUUCAGCCGCAAGGUGUACUUUUCAGAUAUGCAGGCCAGCAUCAGUUUUUGGGGGUGAAAAAGGGUAUUGAGAAGGUAGCAGUUUCGGCUGUGUUAUAGCUCUUUGCUGGAUUCAUCCUUGGGGACUGAGGAACGCAGCUCACUUUUUGCACGAUCUUCGGAUUGUUCUGAGCUUAGGAUGCUGGUGGAAUGGCUUUAAACGACC
RNAcentral lists this ribosomal RNA (599 nucleotides) under Slooffia micra. RNAcentral describes it as "partial large subunit ribosomal RNA". It matches the Rfam family "Eukaryotic large subunit ribosomal RNA", at positions 55 to 649 of the family's 3401-position model. Lineage: Eukaryota; Fungi; Basidiomycota; Microbotryomycetes; Chrysozymaceae. The record is from RNAcentral.